CUGAGAUGUAACAAUUAGUUUUAGGAAGUGCCUACUUCUGUGAGCAAAUAAUCAAUUACCUGUCAUAGCAGCCACUCUUUCCUGAAACUGCCUUCCAACCAGGUGUGCAGUUUCUGAAAUUCUACCAAUGGCUUUACUUCCUCCAGGUGUCUUCUGGAGGAGUAAGGAACCGUGACCAGACAGACACAAAUACAUAUGGCCAUUAGUAAUAUCAUUACCAAGCUAACUACAGGAAUCCAGGGCAGUAUGCAGGCAUAAGAGGUCCAGGAAGAGCAGAACAGAAGACAGUUGUGUGGAGAGCAAGUGAAGAGAGGCACUGAAGACAAACUCUCCCAUCCUUCUGACUUUACCUGGUCCCAGUCCUGGGUGAGCAACUCACAUAACCUUAGGCUUUGAGAUGGUUUGGCCUAUCAUGGGCCCUGAGAGAAUAUUGGACAAAAAUGUUGUUCUUUAGAGUUUAUGGAGAAAGAAACAGAAACAGGAUUUGGUUAUUAUUUUGAAGUGGGCAGAAAAACUGAGGAGCAACCUAACUGCACCAUUCAAUAGAUUAUAAUGCAAACAAGGACCAGAAAUGGCUACUGUCAGAAGUGAGUGAGAAACAAAGCCUGGGGAAAGGAUGUAGGAUCACAGGAGGUGGAACUGAUGGGAUUAAUAAGAAACCAGGCAUGAGAAGCCAUGCAGAUGUAAAUUUGGAAAUCAACAUAUUGAUAGUUGGAGUCACUGGAGUAGGAUGUCUGCCAGCUCCUCUCCAGCCACCCAUUCUCAUAGCGGGUGAGCCAGACCACAUCUGCUAAUCCAGGAGCACAGCUCAGGACUAGUCUAUGCGGAUGGAAUCUCUCUCCAGCCUUUUCUCUAUGUCAGUUUUAUCUACCUGGCAAGAAAAAACAAAAACAACCCCAAAACAACCCCUCCCCACAAACACAACACAAAACAAGGGACUCGAAAAGUUGGAGAAAACCUUUUAAUGUGUUUCUGUAAAAUCCUUUCUUAGGAGGUUUAGUACAGGUACUACCCAUCAGCAACUUAGCCGGCCAGGUGAGUUGGUGCAGAAGGGCUUCGGCUGAAUUUAUACCAGAGCCAUCGGGAGUGACUUGGCCACCUCUCCCAAUUACCACAAGGAAGUCUUAAAAUUGAAUUUCAGUUUCAGCAGAUACUUCAGAUUUACCUGAGCAAUAUCAUAGACAAUGUACUCAUUAUAUAGUAGACAAGUGUCAUUCACACCAGAUGAAAUCCCAGUCCCAAGAGGAACCUCUGCACCAUCCAGAGUAAUACUAGCUGAAGGGUCAGGGGUAGUUUUGCCCAAACCUUUGACACUGUGCUUGCCCUUGGGUAACUUGCUGAUAUGUGAAGCGUGCUUCAGUUCAUACAUUUUCCAAGGGCAACUUCUCCCAACAGGAUUAAGCCUGUUGGGCCUCCCUGAGAUGUAUGGCAGUAGUUGGCACUCUUGGAGGCCAUGUCAGCGAAAUAGAUCCCUUUACCAAACAUGUAGCCCGUCAUGGGCACUUCAGGCGGGGCUAUCCAAAGACC
Molecule: long non-coding RNA, 1527 nt
Filed under: Homo sapiens (human)
Lineage: Eukaryota; Metazoa; Chordata; Mammalia; Primates; Hominidae
Description: HSALNT0377474
Source: RNAcentral